This 100-nucleotide non-coding RNA is filed under the name Foraminifera environmental sample. The record is from RNAcentral. Lineage: Eukaryota; Foraminifera.
GUAUCAUUGUGUACAGAGGUUUCUACUUUGGCAUCUUCGACACGGUGCGCCCCAUGCUGCCCAAGGACGCGAGCUUUGCCAUCACCUUUGGCGUGGGUUA